ACUCAAAUGAAUAGACGGGGGCCCGCACAAGCGGUGGAGCAUGUGCAUUAAUUCGUCACUAACCGAAGAACCUUACCAGGGUUUGACAUCCCCGGACCGCCCGAGAGAUCGGGUCUCCCCCGCAAGGGGGCCGGGUGACAGGUGUUGCAUGGUUGUCGUCAGCUCGUGUCGUGAGAUGUUGGGUUAAGUCCCGCAACGAGCGCAACCCUCACCCAAUGUUGGCAGCGUAAAGUCGGCAACUCUUUGGGAACUGCCCGUGUAAGCGGGAGGAAGGUGGGGAUGACGUCAAAUCGGCAUGGCCCUUACGCCCUGGGCUUGACACAUGCUACAAUGGCCGUUAAACAGAGCGACGCGAUGCCGCGAGGCGGAGCCAAUCGCACAAAUACGGUCUCAGUUCGGAUUGCAGGCUGCAACUCGCCUGCAUGAAGUCGGAAUCGCUAGUAACCGCAGGUCAGCUAAACUGCGGUGAAUACGUUCCCGGGCCUUGCACACACCGCCCGU
Molecule: ribosomal RNA, 501 nt
Filed under: uncultured bacterium
Lineage: Bacteria
Description: partial 16S ribosomal RNA
Rfam family: Bacterial small subunit ribosomal RNA
Source: RNAcentral